This 837-nucleotide ribosomal RNA is filed under the name marine metagenome. Its description in RNAcentral is "bacterial SSU rRNA". It matches the Rfam family "Bacterial small subunit ribosomal RNA", at positions 8 to 840 of the family's 1533-position model. The record is from RNAcentral.
AGAGUUUGAUCAUGGCUCAGAUUGAACGCUGGCGGUAGGCUUAACACAUGCAAGUCGUGCGAGAAAGCAUCUUCGGGUGCGAGUAGAGCGGCGGACGGGUGAGUAACGCGUAGGAAUCUACCUAGUAGAAGGGGAUAGCCCGGGGAAACUCGGAUUAAUACCGUAUACCUCCUUAGGGAGAAAGAGGGCUUAGCUUUGAUGCUCUCGCUAUUAGAUGAGCCUGCGUAAGAUUAGCUUGUUGGUGAGGUAAUGGCUCACCAAGGCGACGAUCUUUAGCUGGUCUGAGAGGACGAUCAGCCACAUUGGGACUGAGACACGGCCCAGACUCCUACGGGAGGCAGCAGUGGGGAAUAUUGGACAAUGGGCGCAAGCCUGAUCCAGCCAUACCGCGUGUGUGAAGAAGGCUUUCGGGUUGUAAAGCACUUUAAGUAAGGAGAAAAAGAUUGUAGUUAAUACCUGCAAUCCGUGAUGUUACUUACAGAAUAAGGACCGGCUAAUUCCGUGCCAGCAGCCGCGGUAAUACGGAAGGUCCAAGCGUUAAUCGGAAUUACUGGGCGUAAAGCGCGCGUAGGUGGUUUUUUAAGUUGGAUGUGAAAGCCCUGGGCUCAACCUAGGAACUGCAUCCAAAACUAGAUGACUAGAGUACGAAAGAGGGAAGUAGAAUUCACAGUGUAGCGGUGGAAUGCGUAGAUAUUGUGAAGAAUACCAAUGGCGAAGGCAGCUUCCUGGUUCUGUACUGACACUGAGGUGCGAAAGCGUGGGUAGCGAACAGGAUUAGAUACCCUGGUAGUCCACGCCGUAAACGAUGACAACUAGCUGUUGGGAGACAAGAUCUCU